GAUCUAUAAACGUUGUUGCGGCGGCCCGGUGGUCACGGGCGGUCGAUGUGGUACUGAUCGUUUGAUCAUAUUUACGCGGUGCGUAGAGAACAUGUGCUCCUUUUUUGUGUGAAUUAACGAUCACUAAGCCCUGGGUCCUGUGCAAUGCUAUUAGCUCGCUGUAUGUUUCUUGCGGUGCGCCGUUGUUGAUUAUCGUAGUGCGGUCCACACGCGCUUCCUUUGUGCCCGGCUCAUGAGAAGUGUUGUACUCUCGCCGCUCCCGCAUCGGCUCACAGUGCACGGAAGAAUGUGUUGAUAGUUGUGCUAUCGCGUGCUGUAGUUCACCGCAAUUCAACACUACGCUGGACGGACUGUUGGUGCAGUCGAUGCGGCGUGAACGGACACGAAGGAGCGCUCGCCUCAGAAGGGAUGUCACAAUUUCCUGAGACGGAGGCAUCUCUACUCCACAAAGGAGACUGCGGCACUAUGCAGCCAGAACAGCACGACAAAGCAUCUGAUCUGCCUGCUUUGACAAGAUGUGGCUGGGCCUGCAGAAAGAGUGUAAGCACACUACUGUGUUGCUGAUCAGUGCUGGUGCUGAUCUCUACGUCUGAGUUGGCCUCACAACGUCCAGGCGCCACUGUGCUUUGCUUCAUUGACAAGGUAAUAUGAUAUAGACACCUUGCACCUCAGUAUCAGUUUUGAGAAAUAUGCUAAGACACAAGGGUUGGCCUUGGUGAUAAAUACACUCGUGUUCUUUUUUAAAGCGUUCUUCUUGCAGUGUUCCUCAUGUACAUGUUUUCAGAAGAUGCUUAAAUGCAAACCGCCAUGGAACUUGUUUAUGCCUUAAAGUAGCUCUCUUUCACCAAAAGAAAAGCCUUAUUUAAUGCACAAUUCAUAAGAAAGGUGAGGAAGUGACAGGACAUAAGUCUAACAACCAUCCAGUUUUACUGCUUGCACAGCACUAUAAAGCGAGAGGUGGAAGGGCAAGAACAGAUAAAUCGAAAAUGCAUGUUGCUCACACAACCGCGAAAAGGACACAUGGCAUGGCUACUGUGACGCUUGUUUUACAAUGAUAAAUAAGCAGUCUUGCUAUCUGAUAGUCCACUGGAGGUGGAGCCAACUUGCAGAUUCCCUGUCACACAUAUAAGGAAAUCUUAACGAAUUUCGCCAGCACUAUGGUCCUUAUACAUUGCCACGGUUGCACAGUUUUCAAACAAAAUAAUGCAAGUGAGCUUUGCACUACCAAGUGACCACGAAAUGACCUGAGCAUUCAGUUAACAUGGUUGCAAAUCCAGUCAUUUAUACAUUGGCCUGUUUUGCUGACGUAGUGUCUACUGCACGACAGUGGUAUUUAAUAUCCAUCAACACCCCUGUGCUCUACGUACUCUUUCUUGCAUGCUUUUUUUUUCACACGUAGUGGAAGAUUACUUGAUUCCAGAACAAUUUGGUUUGUUCUACACAUGAUAGUGAACUUGCCAGUCUUAUAUUCAACAUGGAAUUGGGUAGAAAGAUGUGGUAUUUCUUAUGGUGCCCUGGUGCAUUCAGCUUGUGCAGAUGCUUCAAGCUUGUAUUGACAAAAAUUGGGAUGAAGCCAUAGGAGGAGAGUUGUAAAAGUGUAACGAAAGCCUCCUGAUAGAUAUGCUGAGUUGUGCUGCUGUGCACACUUAUUGGUUAUCCCUACUGGGUAACGCUGUUAGGGUUAUGGAUGCUUUGACACUGUAGGGCCUACAAGAUGGCUAGCAUUACAGAACACAUUAAAACGACUGUAGGGAUGCGUGUCGUGCUAUGGUAUCAUAAUUGGCCCACAAAGUGACCACCUUUGCUUACACUUGUGGUAAUCUGGCCCAGUUUACUUAACCCGACUGCCAUCUAUGCAUGAGGAGAAGGGACUAAAAAAUGAAGGGACCUUCGAUUAAUGUUCUUGUACAGAUGGCCCAUACAUUGCAUUUUUCUUAUCUUGCAAGCUUUGUUACUUAAAGCUUUCUAUGGGCAAAUAUCAGCAUUUGAUUCUUAUUUUUACCUAAUAAGUAUUGCUUUGUUCACAGUGUCACUUUCUAUAUUUACCGUAUUUACUCACAUAAUGAUCGCAGCCCUGAAUUUUGUCGUCCAAAUUCGAUUUUUUUUUAUUUCCUGUGUUGAUCACACUCCGAACUUGCCGCAGCGAUCUGUCAUGUACCAAGUCUAGCUAUUAAUGAUCGCGCUUACCAUCUGUCGAAUGCUACGCAAACAACUCUUCAAGACAAACCAAGCAGUCUGCACGCACCAAACAUUCUUUAGCAGAUGCCCGAUUUCAUUCCUUUCAUCACUUUCCGCACUUCCAUGACAAAAAAGCUACAACCAAAAUUGCCUUUAUUAUGUGUAGGCUUUGUAAUGGUUGUGGUCAAGAACAACAAA
This is a long non-coding RNA of Dermacentor andersoni, 2376 nucleotides long. RefSeq lists it as uncharacterized. The record is from RefSeq and is a predicted model, not a curated record. Lineage: Eukaryota; Metazoa; Arthropoda; Arachnida; Ixodida; Ixodidae.